GUGGAUACUAUGAAACCAGUUGUGCAUUCUGAGAGUACAAUAUAUAAAAUAUAUAAUAUUUUUGUAAAAUGUAAUAUUUUUGUUUUAAUCAAAUUGUUGUUGUUUUUUUGUUUUUUGCAGAAGACUGAAACCUGAUUUUGAGAUGCCUCGCACAAAGCAAGCCCGGCGCUCCCAGGCCGCAAAGAAGAGGAUGGCAGACCGGAUGGCUGCUGAUCCUGAAGAGGCUCUGCCACCUCUUAAAAAAUUGGCAGAAGUAACAGAACGUUGUGUACAUCACAACGGGGCUAUAAAACUGGGUCAUAACAGUGGUCAUAACCGUGGUCAUAACCUUGGGCAAACAAGUGGUCUAACAAGUGGUCUAACAAGUGGUCAAACAAGUGGUCAAACAAGUGGUCAAACAAGUGGUCAAACAAGUGGUCUAAACAAUGAUGCUAAAAACACGGAUCAUAAUAGUACUGUUAACAUGACCAUGAAAGCUGUUUCUGAUUUGUGUCCACAGAAAUCGUACAUCAGUGGCUCUUUCCAUCAAGGAGAUUACCGUUUUGGCCGGAAUAGGAGAAGUCAAUGUGGUGCAAACUGUUUAACUGCAAUUAUGAUGAGUAAGAUGAAAAGUGUGUUGCAGUGGACGAGAAGUGACCUGAAUGCUGUUCUGAUCCAUGGAGAUGACCUGUACAGUGCCAUGAGAGACGCAGGGAAAAUCAACGAUCCUGAAUCCGUCUUCAUAGCUGUUCAUGAGCUACCAGACACACACACACUCUGAAAGAUUGUCAGUUUUCAAUAAACUAUGGUGAAGCAUUGA
This is a long non-coding RNA of Carassius gibelio (silver crucian carp), 799 nucleotides long. RefSeq lists it as uncharacterized. The transcript is spliced from 2 exons. The record is from RefSeq and is a predicted model, not a curated record. Lineage: Eukaryota; Metazoa; Chordata; Actinopteri; Cypriniformes; Cyprinidae.